AUUUUAGUCUCAUAAUUUUCUGCCUUAUCAUUGUAACAAGAACACUAGAAUUAACAGCUUUAAAACGUUAUGCACAUUUAUUGUACUUAAUGCUACACAUCAACAAUGUAGCAAAUAAGCAAAUGGUACUUGUUUCAUAGAACAAGUCCUACUCAGUUUCCCACCUCACUUGGACCCAGGCAAAACCAGCCAUGUUUGUUGCCAGACAUUUCCCAUCUUUACAUAUUUCCAUUGAAAUUUAAAGGGGCACUAAACCCCCUGAUUUUUUUUGACUCCACCCUCAAAUUUGAAAAAGGCUAAAAAAAAAAAUAAAUAAAUAAAUAAAAAAGGGAGGUGUGGGUUGAGAGGGGCACUGGGUGAUGUAUGGGUUUAGAGGCAGUUUAGAGGCAAUCAAUUUUUGAACAUAUCAUGAUGACUGUUUUUGUAAAUAUGUGGUCUAGACAGGUGUCUCAUGCAUGUCCAGCUGUGUGCAUUCAGAGAGGGAAGAGAAAGAGCCUUGAAGAGAAAAGCUAUUCUCAUCUGGCAGCAAGCAGUGGAAAAUAUAAAGAUAGCCCAACAACUUUAUCAACAAGCUCUGCUCUGCAGAUUUUAUUUUAAGUGGCUUGAUGUGUACGAGCGUAAUAGAGAGCUGCACUGUCUCUCUCUGGAUAUACAGGAGCUCAGAACUCGAAGGCUACAGCAGAAUUUCUUUUCCCUCUGGAAACUACAGUUCCUCCAUAUCCGUACCAAAAAGCAGCGUCUCCAUCUGCAGGUAGCUAACUUCCAGUUCCACCAAGCAGUGAGGCAUCGAGACCAGCAUGUUCUGACCCGUAGUCUGAACCUGUGGAGGUGGAAACUGGAUCUGAAGAGGAGAAGAAGAGAGAUAGCUCUGGGUGUUGUGAGGAUUUGGAGAGGGUUUGCCUUGCGGUGCAAAGAGUUGAGAGAGAGGGUUCAAAACGUCCAGAAAUUGCAGCUGUCUCAUGCAUUCAGAUACUGGGCAAGAACAAUGAGACUGAGCAUCAAGGCGAGAGAACAUCACACGCAGAAGCAGAGAAGAAGGGUUCUGCUAGGCUGGCAUAUCCACACAGUUUGGGCUCAGAGGAUGCGCUACAGUGAGGCCUGCUUCCAGUACAGGAUGGAGCUCAGGGUGAUGGGCUUCUGUCUCAGCCUGUGGAGGAGGGCACUGGUCCAGACCCAGAACCAGCAGUGUGUUUUGGAGGACCUCCUCAGCCUCUAUCACAGCAGACUGACAGCACAGGCCUUUCAGAAUUGGAGAGCAGCCACCACACGGCAAAGAGCGGCCAAGAACAUCAACACAGCUUUACUGCGAAAGUGGUUUGUGCGCUGGAAACAACGAAGAGAUGCCCUUAGAACAGCUGAUCAGUUCCUGGCUCAAAAGCAGAAAGAAGAAAUGCGGCUGAUUUUAACAUCUUGGUCAUUAUGGGUGAAAGAGCAUAAGGGCCGCAGACAGAUGGAGGAAGCUGUGCGUCUCUGGUUGGAUGGCAGGAGAGUGUGUGCAGUUUUCCAUCAGUGGGUUAAAGUGUACCGCCAGCACCAGGUGGCCUGUUAUCACAGCCAAAUACACCUUUUACACAGAUCUUUCUGGACAUGGAGGGCUGCUGCCAUAGAGACAAAGCGGAAGUGUCAGACUGUUGAGAUACGACUUCAGCACCAUGAGAUGCGGUCAGCCUUCAGAACCUGGAGGUGGGCUACAGCAUCCCAUAAGGCCGUGCGUUACUUCACACAGCGAGUGAAGGAAGCAGACAGGAGGAGACUUCUGAGUGCUGUACUCCAAGCAUGGCAUGAAAAGACCCAGAUUCAGAAGCAGCGUGAUUUUCAUCUUAGUGACAAAUAUUUUAACCUCUGGGCACUGGAAGUGCAAAGAAGACAGUCUGUGAGACUUUUGUGGAAUAGAAGAAGGACUAAGUGGAUGAGACUUUGGCGGUACAGGCUGGUGGAGCGGAGAGAACAGAGGGAACUAAUUUCUCUCUACUGGGCUUCUUGGAAGAGUCAGACUGCUGCCUCACUGCUGUACAAACAACAACCUCAGCGUAAAUCUCUGCAGAAAGCAUGGCUCACCUGGAGAAAGAGGCACAUCAGGAACAGAGUGGCUGCUGAGUACACGGCCAGCAUUAACAGAGCCCUGCUGCUGAAGGCACUUCGUGCGUGGUGGCGGCGGGCCCUUGUUUCAGGCUCUCUGCCCAGUAGAGCUCCGGUUCGCUCCUACUCCCUCUGACUGACCUGCUGCUGAGCUCCAGGCCAAGAGCAGCAGAACCUUCCAGACUGCAGUUAACUUGACACCCUCAUUAAACUUCCUGGAAACCAUCUAAACUUUAACCUUAAAUUCAGAGCAGCCUCUCUGCACUCUGAAUCAUUCUGCAGAUCCUACCCUUUAAAUAAAACCACCGUCAGCUAUAUUAAACCCUGCA
RNAcentral lists this long non-coding RNA (2408 nucleotides) under Astyanax mexicanus (Mexican tetra). Its description in RNAcentral is "lncRNA (ENSAMXG00005015711.1)". The record is from RNAcentral. Lineage: Eukaryota; Metazoa; Chordata; Actinopteri; Characiformes; Acestrorhamphidae.